RNAcentral lists this ribosomal RNA (1478 nucleotides) under uncultured bacterium. Its description in RNAcentral is "16S ribosomal RNA". It matches the Rfam family "Bacterial small subunit ribosomal RNA". The record is from RNAcentral.
CUGGCUCAGGAUGAAUGCUAGCGGCAGGCUUAACACAUGCAAGUCGAGGGGCAUCGGGAGGGAAGCUUGCUUUCCUUGCCGGCGACCGGCGCACGGGUGAGUAACACGUAUGCAACCUGCCCUCUUCAGGGGGACAACCUUCCGAAAGGGAGGCUAAUCCCGCGUAUAUCGGUUUCGGGCAUCCGAGAUCGAGGAAAGAUUCAUCGGAAGAGGAUGGGCAUGCGGCGCAUUAGCUAGACGGCGGGGUAACGGCCCACCGUGGCGACGAUGCGUAGGGGUUCUGAGAGGAAGGUCCCCCACACUGGUACUGAGACACGGACCAGACUCCUACGGGAGGCAGCAGUGAGGAAUAUUGGUCAAUGGGAGAGAUCCUGAACCAGCCAAGCCGCGUGAGGGAAGACGGCCCUAUGGGUUGUAAACCUCUUUUGUCGGAGAACAAAACCCGGGACGUGUCCCGGACUGCGUGUAUCCGAAGAAAAAGCAUCGGCUAACUCCGUGCCAGCAGCCGCGGUAAUACGGAGGAUGCGAGCGUUAUCCGGAUUUAUUGGGUUUAAAGGGUGCGUAGGCGGUCCGUUAAGUCAGCGGUAAAAUUGCGGGGCUCAACCCCGUCGAGCCGUUGAAACUGGCAGACUUGAGUUGGCGAGAAGUACGCGGAAUGCGCGGUGUAGCGGUGAAAUGCAUAGAUAUCGCGCAGAACUCCGAUUGCGAAGGCAGCGUACCGGCGCCAGACUGACGCCGAGGCACGAAAGCGUGGGGAUCGAACAGGAUUAGAUACCCUGGUAGUCCACGCAGUAAACGAUGAAUGCUGGUUGUCCGGGUCGAAUGAGAUCUGGGCGGCGAAGCGAAAGCGAUAAGCAUUCCACCUGGGGAGUACGCCGGCAACGGUGAAACUCAAAGGAAUUGACGGGGGCCCGCACAAGCGGAGGAACAUGUGGUUUAAUUCGAUGAUACGCGAGGAACCUUACCCGGGCUCAAACGGGAGUGGAAUGGACCAGAGACGGUUCAGCCUACGGGCCGCUUCCGAGGUGCUGCAUGGUUGUCGUCAGCUCGUGCCGUGAGGUGUCGGCUUAAGUGCCAUAACGAGCGCAACCCCCGCCGGCAGUUGCUAACGGGCAAUGCCGAGGACUCUGCCGGGACUGCCGCCGCAAGGCGUGAGGAAGGCGGGGAUGACGUCAAAUCAGCACGGCCCUUACGUCCGGGGCGACACACGUGUUACAAUGGGCGGUACAGCGGGAAGCCAGGCGGCGACGCCGAGCGGAACCCGAAAGCCGUUCUCAGUUCGGAUCGGAGUCUGCAACCCGACUCCGUGAAGCUGGAUUCGCUAGUAAUCGCGCAUCAGCCAUGGCGCGGUGAAUACGUUCCCAGGCCUUGUACACACCGCCCGUCAAGCCAUGGGAGCCGGGGGUGCUUGAAGUGCGUCGCCGUGAGGCGCGCCCUAGAGCAAAACUCGGUGACUGGGGAUAAGUCGUAACAAGGUA